GGCUUUGAGUGUAAACUCCACCCGUGUGACCUUACCUCCUGUCGUUGCUUCGGCGGGCUCGCCCGCCGGAGGUCUUGAAACUACUGCAUCUUGUAUACCUUCUGAGAAAAACAAGCAAAAUAAUCAAAACUUUCAACAACGGAUCUCUUGGUUCUGGCAUCGAUGAAGAACGCAGCGAAAUGCGAUAAGUAAUGUGAAUUGCAGAAUUCAGUGAAUCAUCGAAUCUUUGAACGCACAUUGCGCCCGCCGGUAUUCCGGCGGGCAUGCCUGUCCGAGCGUCAUUUCAACCCUCAGGCCCCCCGGGGCCUGGUGUUGGGGCGCCCGGGUCCUCAGCGGCCCGGGGCCCCCAAGUCCAUCGGCGGUCUCGUCUGGACCCUGAGCGCAGUAACUCGCGGUAAAACGCAGCCUCGCUCGGCCCGUCCCGGCGCGCAUCCAGCCGCUAAACCCCCAAAUUCUAAAGGUUGACCUCGGAUCAGGUAGGAAUACCCGCUGAACUUAAGCAUAUCAAUAAACCGGAGGAA
RNAcentral lists this ribosomal RNA (521 nucleotides) under Pyricularia sp. 'tsao-ko'. RNAcentral describes it as "eukaryotic LSU rRNA". The stretch from base 128 to 281 matches the Rfam family "5.8S ribosomal RNA". The record is from RNAcentral. Lineage: Eukaryota; Fungi; Ascomycota; Sordariomycetes; Magnaporthales; Pyriculariaceae.